Molecule: ribosomal RNA, 523 nt
Filed under: uncultured bacterium
Lineage: Bacteria
Description: bacterial SSU rRNA
Rfam family: Bacterial small subunit ribosomal RNA
Source: RNAcentral
GAAACCCGGAUUAAUACCGCAUGACACUGCGACUACUUAAGUAGAUGCAGUUAAAUUUUCGGAGGUAAUAGAUGGGCAUGCGUAUGAUUAGUUAGUUGGUGAGGUAACGGCUCACCAAGACUGUGAUCAUUAGCGGGUCUGAGAGGAUGAUCCGCCACACUGGUACUGAGACACGGACCAGACUCCUACGGGAGGCAGCAGUGAGGAAUAUUGGUCAAUGGGGGCAACCCUGAACCAGCCAUGCCGCGUGCAGGAAGACGGCCUUCUGGGUUGUAAACUGCUUUUAUACAGGAGCAAAUAGUCCCUGCGGGGAAAGUUGAGAGUAUUGUAUGAAUAAGCACCGGCUAACUCCGUGCCAGCAGCCGCGGUAAUACGGAGGGUGCAAGCGUUGUCCGGAUUUAUUGGGUUUAAAGGGUGCGUAGGCGGUUUAUAAAGUCAGUGGUGAAAAGUCUUCGGCUCAACCGGAGGAUUGCCAUUGAACUUAUAACUUGAGUACAGUAGAGGUAGGCGGANUUAUGAUGUA